ACUCCUACGGGAGGCAGCAAUUAGGAAUCUUGCACAAUGGGCGAAAGCCUGAUGCAGCGACGCCGCGUGACUGAUGAAGUCCUUCGGGAUGUAAAAGUCUUUUCUGGGGGAAGAAGGACGUGACGGUACCCCAGGAAUAAGCCCCGGCUAACUACGUGCCAGCAGCCGCGGUAAUACGUAGGGGGCGAGCGUUGUCCGAAUUUACUGGGCGUAAAGCGCGCGUAGGCGGGUUUUUAAGUUGGUGGUGAAAUCCCGAGGCUCAACCUCGGAACUGCCUCCAAAACUGGGAACCUUGAGGUAUGGAGAGGGAAGUGGAAUUCCAGGUGUAGCGGUGAAAUGCGUAGAUAUCUGGAGGAACACCCGUGGCGAAGGCGGCUUCCUGGUCAUAUCCUGACGCUGAGGUGCGAAAGCUAGGGGAGCGAACGGGAUUAGAUACCCCGGUAGUCCUAGCCGUAAACGAUGGAUACUAGGUGUUAGAGGUAUCGACCCCUCUAGUGCCGAAGCUAACGCAUUAAGUAUCCCGCCUGGGGAGUACGACCGCAAGGUUGAAACUCAAAGGAAUUGACGGGGGCCCGCACAAGCGGUGGAGCAUGUGGUUUAAUACGUCAUUAACCGUAGAACCUUACCCAGGUUUGACAUCUGGGGAAUCCUGGUGAAAGCCGGGAGUGCUUAGUAAUAAGAACCCCAAGACAGGUGUUGCAUGGCUGUCGUCAGCUCGUGUCGUGAGAUGUUGGGUUAAGUCCCGCAACGAGCGCAACCCUCAUCCGAUGUUGCCAGCGUUAAGUCGGGAACUCUUCGGAAACUGCCCGUGUAAGCGGGAGGAAGGUGGGGAUGACGUCAAGUCAGCAUGGCCCUUACGCCUGGGGCUACACACAUGUUACAAUGGAUGUGAACAAAGGGCAGCAAUACCGCGAGGUGGAGCUAAUCUCAAAAAUACAUCCUCAGUUCGGAUUGCAGUUUGCAACUUGACUGCAUGAAGUUGGAAUCGCUAGUAACCGCAGGUCAGGUAAACUGCGGUGAAUACGUUCCCGGGCCUUGUACACACCGCCCGU
This 1052-nucleotide ribosomal RNA is filed under the name uncultured bacterium. RNAcentral's name for it is "bacterial SSU rRNA". It matches the Rfam family "Bacterial small subunit ribosomal RNA", at positions 335 to 1397 of the family's 1533-position model. The record is from RNAcentral.